AGGAGAUGGAGUGGAAAAAUAUCUCGCGAGCCCUGGGUGCCUUCAGUUUCCCUUUCUCGAUCCAAUCUCCAUCGACCUACUACAACCGCCACCACCUCCUCGAUCCAUGUGCUCACCCUUUGCCGCCGCCACCGGAGAGGCUCGCCUCCGCGGCCGCACGCCUUAGAUCCGACGGAAGGAAAAGGAGGAAGAGACCUGCACUGUCCUGUUCUCCGAGGUGAUGGAGGAGCAGCCGAGGGCGACGACGGCGUCCUUGGCCGAGCACACGGGCGGAAGGGGGGAGAGGGGUGUAGCCGCUCGUGGGGAUCGAGGGGAAGGAGAAAGGUGAUGAUGAUGCCGACUAUUUGGGGAAGGGGAUGCGGGCGACCUGGGGCGAGUGAAGCGGCCUGAGGGAGGCCGGCGGCGACCUAUGGAAGGAAUGGGACGCCGGCGACCUUGGGAAGGAAGGGGAGGCCGGCGAAUUGGGGUAGGGGAUGCGGGUGACCUGGGGAACGGCGGCUGGGAGCUGCUUAGCCCGUCGUCGCUGUCGGCCACCGGCGGCCACCGCCCGUUGCUUGGAGGAUGAGGGGAAUGGAGAAAGAGAAGUAGUAUCGGGAAGGAGUUUUGGGGGAUAGGAGGAGGGGAACAGCAGCCGCGCCAGGCGACAUGCUCGCGGUGCCGCUUGGUGGCUGAGAUGAGGCUGCCCCAUGCUCUGUUCCAAUGGGCCUCCUCUGCUCGAUGGUUGCACUGGUUGAGUUUGGUACGACUCCUAUUGUCGGCUGCGUCGAGCCUUGGGUCUUGUCUGUUCUUCGCAUUGAGGUUGGAGCAACUGGGAAACCAUUGACAAAUGUGGUCUCAAUUGGAGUUGGUGGUAGCUUCCUUGGACCUCUGUUUGUGCAUGCAGCUCUCCAGAUUGCAGAGGCCGCCAAAGGCUGGCAACUGAGAUUGUAAGGGUGUACUUGGGGUUAGAGGCAUUGGUGUGAGGGCGUUGUGGUGACGUGCUCCUCCAUGCCUCGUGCGAGUUCUUGGUGUCGCGAUCAUGUCUCCAGAGAGCAGCGCUUCAAGGUCACUUAAGCUUGAAUGGGUUAUCAAGUCUACUGGAACCAUUCAUGUUUAGGCUUGUUCAUUGGUUUUAGGACAGACACUCCCUUAAGUAUGUUUAAUCACAAUUAAAAGGAGGAAGCCAAAUUAUUGCAAUGUGUGGCUUCAGGUAAAGUUGUCAAGAUGAUCUGGUGCUUGUUUGAGUCGUUGAUUACUGCUGCUUUGCUAAGGUUCAACGUCUUACUACAUGAGAAAUUUAUUCCAAUGCUUUCUCAAUCCCUUUACCAUGAUGACUACGAGAGGAACCUUCAAUGUGUAUAGAUGGUGAUGGAUAUGGGGACACACAAGAACUAGCGAACUUAAUACCAGAUGCCCUCAACUAUGAAUUCUUUAAUUAUUGGAGGCUUUCAUAUUCAUAUCAAUACAAGGUGGGAUAUGAUGCAGGCUUUAGAAUCACUAAGGUUGCUCCUUCUCUGUUCCUUUGGUCAAGCACAGAGGAAUGAGGAUGGAUACAGGAGGCAUGGCGUAAGCGUAGGGGUCAGCCAUGGCACGACGCAAGAGUCUGCCCAUCUCCUCUCAAAGGAUUGGUGGUUCAUCACGAUUUUUCUAGCUUAUUUUGUCCUCCAAAUGAUAUAGAAGGCAGUCAAGCACUACAGGAAUCUGCUACUUUGCCAUCUGCCACAGCGGACGACAAAGCCAGGGACAUCGGACGGCAAAAUGCUUUGCCAUCAGCGGCGGAUGACAAACAGUGACGACAAAGACAGAGUCGGCAAACAGGCCCUUUGCCGUCUGCUUUUUAUGGCGGAUGGCAAAGAGUGCUUUGCCUACAGCGUCGGACGGCAAAGAGGAGUGACGGCAAAAUACUGGACGUCCGCCAGUGUUAGUCCAUUAGGCGGCUAACGGCGGCCUUUGCCGUCAGCCAGCUGCCGGCAAAUUUGAACGCCUCUUUGCUGUCCGCCUCUUUGCCAUUAGCUUAACUUUGUCGUCCGCCAGGGUAGGCAAAUUUGCCAAAUGGCUCAUCUAUGAGGAAGCAUAGGUGGCUGCCACGUGUCCCCUUUGCCGUCUGCCACCGACGGCAAAGGGGUCUUUGCCGUCUGCCGCGGACGGCAAAGAGCCUGUACUGCCUCUUUUUUAUUCUAUUUUUCUUAUAUCCAACAAUUAUCACAGCAAAUAUAU
Triticum dicoccoides is the source of this 2196-nucleotide long non-coding RNA. RefSeq lists it as uncharacterized. The record is from RefSeq and is a predicted model, not a curated record. The transcript is spliced from 9 exons. NCBI's taxonomy places the organism in Eukaryota, Viridiplantae, Streptophyta, Magnoliopsida, Poales, Poaceae.